AUUGAACGCUGGCGGCAUGCCUUACACAUGCAAGUCGAACGGUAACAGGUUAAGCUGACGAGUGGCGAACGGGUGAGUAAUAUAUCGGAACGUGCCCAGUCGUGGGGGAUAACUGCUCGAAAGAGCAGCUAAUACCGCAUACGACCUGAGGAUGAAAGCGGGGGAUCGCAAGACCUCGCGCGAUUGGAGCGGCCGAUAUCAGAUUAGGUAGUUGGUGGGGUAAAGGCCCACCAAGCCAACGAUCUGUAGCUGGUCUGAGAGGACGACCAGCCACACUGGGACUGAGACACGGCCCAGACUCCUACGGGAGGCAGCAGUGGGGAAUUUUGGACAAUGGGCGCAAGCCUGAUCCAGCCAUGCCGCGCGCGGGAAGAAGGCCUUCGGGUCGUAAACCGCUUUUGUCAGGGAAGAAAAGGUUCUGGUUAAUACCUGGGACUCAUGACGGUACCUGAAGAAUAAGCACCGGCUAACUACGUGCCAGCAGCCGCCGUAA
Molecule: ribosomal RNA, 493 nt
Filed under: uncultured bacterium
Lineage: Bacteria
Description: partial 16S ribosomal RNA
Rfam family: Bacterial small subunit ribosomal RNA
Source: RNAcentral